CCCAGGGUGGUGUAGUGGUUUGAGUACUGGACAACAAUUCUGGAGACCAGGGUUCAAAUCCCUGCUAGAGAG
This is a non-coding RNA of Phrynosoma platyrhinos (Desert horned lizard), 72 nucleotides long. Lineage: Eukaryota; Metazoa; Chordata; Lepidosauria; Squamata; Phrynosomatidae. The record is from the annotation of a GenBank genome assembly.